UACGAAGGGGGCUAGCGUUGUUCGGAAUUACUGGGCGUAAAGCGCGCGCAGGUGGUCUUUCAAGUCAGUGGUGAAAGCCCGGAGCUCAACUCCGGAACUGCCAUUGAAACUGUAAGACUUGAGGACGAGAGAGGUGAGUGGAAUUCCCAGUGUAGAGGUGAAAUUCGUAGAUAUUGGGAAGAACACCAGUGGCGAAGGCGGCUCACUGGCUCGUAUCUGACGCUCAGGCGCGACAGCGUGGGGAUCAAACAGG
This 253-nucleotide ribosomal RNA is filed under the name uncultured bacterium. Its description in RNAcentral is "partial 16S ribosomal RNA". It matches the Rfam family "Bacterial small subunit ribosomal RNA", at positions 524 to 776 of the family's 1533-position model. The record is from RNAcentral.